RNAcentral lists this ribosomal RNA (280 nucleotides) under uncultured bacterium. RNAcentral's name for it is "partial 16S ribosomal RNA". It matches the Rfam family "Bacterial small subunit ribosomal RNA", at positions 518 to 793 of the family's 1533-position model. The record is from RNAcentral.
CGGUAAUACGGAGGGUGCGAGCGUUAAUCGGAAUUACUGGGCGUAAAGCGCAUGCAGGUGGUUUGUUAAGUUCAGAUGUGAAAGCCCGGGCGUCAACCUCGGAAUAGCAUUUGUAAACUAGGCAGACUAGAGUACUGUAGAGGGGGUAGGAAGUUUCAGGUGUAGCGGUGAAAUGCGUAGAGAUCUGAAGGAAUACCGGUGGCGAAGGCGGCCCCCUGGACAGAUACUGACACUCAGAUGCGAAAGCGUGGGGAGCAAACAGGAUUAGAUACCCUGGUAG